UACGGGAGGCAGCAGUGAGGAAUAUUGGUCAAUGGGCGCGAGCCUGAACCAGCCAAGUAGCGUGCAGGAUGACUGCCCUAUGGGUUGUAAACUGCUUUUAUCAGGGAAUAAAGUGAGGCACGUGUGCCUUUUUGUAUGUACCUGAUGAAUAAGGACCGGCUAAUUCCGUGCCAGCAGCCGCGGUAAU
Molecule: ribosomal RNA, 187 nt
Filed under: uncultured rumen bacterium
Lineage: Bacteria
Description: partial 16S ribosomal RNA
Rfam family: Bacterial small subunit ribosomal RNA
Source: RNAcentral